This 336-nucleotide long non-coding RNA is filed under the name Mytilus galloprovincialis (Mediterranean mussel). Lineage: Eukaryota; Metazoa; Mollusca; Bivalvia; Mytilida; Mytilidae. The record is from RNAcentral.
AAAAGCAUGAAAAGGACUUCAAAUGAUUUUUAAAUUUUUUUUUUAUGUAAUGAUCUGUAAAUAGAACUGUGUUAACUCUAAAAGUAGGAGCUAUAUUGUGUCACUCCAUUUGUCCUUGGCCAGUUGGUCCUAAAAAAUUCAGUGACUCAAUUUCAGUCACAUGUUUCUCUGAAACUACUUCUUAUACUGACUAUUUUAUGUAUGAGCUUCACAGUGAUAACUUGUAAUAUUUGAGCACUUUUCAGAUCUAUCAAACACCUACACAAUGUACAUGUACUGCCUGUAAGCAGAAAAUUGGAACUACAAGGGGGAUAAUUGGUAUUUGUAAUAUGACAU